Molecule: long non-coding RNA, 200 nt
Filed under: Elaeis guineensis (African oil palm)
Lineage: Eukaryota; Viridiplantae; Streptophyta; Magnoliopsida; Arecales; Arecaceae
Description: long non-coding RNA (EGUI_LNC034762)
Source: RNAcentral
CAGGAUAAAUAUUGAUUAAAAGACUAUUUAAAUUGAUAAGAAAGCAAGUAAAUAAAGAGAAUUAAAUAAAAGUUAGAUGCAACUAUGGAUUGGAUUCUCAGGAUCUCAACUGUUUUUUUGUUAGACAGCUGGUAUCCUUUUUUAACAUGCCUUUGCUUAGGUAUCUAAAUAAUAAAGAUAUAACCUAUCUUAGAGAACAC